GAUGAACGCUGGCGGCGUGCCUAAUACAUGCAAGUCGAGCGAACGGACGAGAAGCUUGCUUCUCUGAUGUUAGCGGCGGACGGGUGUGUAACACGUGGAUAACCUACCUAUAAGUCUGGGAUCACUUCGGGAAACCGGAGCUAAUACCGUAUAAUCUUUUGCACCGCAUGGUUCAUAAGUAAAAGACGGUCUUGCUGUCACUUAUAGAUGGAUCCGCGCUGCAUUAGCUAGUUGUUACGGUAACGGCUUACCAAGGCAACGAUGCAUAGCCGACCUGAGAGAGUGAUAGGCGACAUGGGAGCUGAGACAGCGUCAAGACGACUAAGGGAGGCAGCAGAAGGGAAUCGUACGCAAUGGGCGAAAGCAUGACGGAGCAACGCCGCGUGAGAGAUGGAGGUGUUGGGAGCGUAAAAAUCUGUUAUGAGGGAAGAACAGAUGUGUAAGGAAAUGUGCACAGAGUGACGGUACCGAAUCAGAAAGCCACGGCUAACUACGUG
RNAcentral lists this ribosomal RNA (497 nucleotides) under uncultured bacterium. RNAcentral's name for it is "partial 16S ribosomal RNA". It matches the Rfam family "Bacterial small subunit ribosomal RNA", at positions 28 to 507 of the family's 1533-position model. The record is from RNAcentral.